ACGGAAGGCAGCAGUGGGGAAUAUUGCACAAUGGGCGAAAGCCUGAUGCAGCGACGCCGCGUGAGUGAAGAAGUAUCUCGGUAUGUAAAGCUCUAUCAGCAGGGAAGAAAAUGACGGUACCUGACUAAGAAGCCCCGGCUAACUACGUGCCAGCAGCCGCGGUAAUACGUAGGGGGCAAGCGUUAUCCGGAUUUACUGGGUGUAAAGGGAGCGUAGACGGUUUGGCAAGUCUGAAGUGAAAUGCGGGGGCUCAACUCCUGAACUGCUUUGGAAACUGUCGAACUAGAGUGCUGGAGAGGUAAGUGGAAUUCCUAGUGUAGCGGUGAAAUGCGUAGAUAUUAGGAGGAACACCAGUGGCGAAGGCGGCUUACUGGACUGUAACUGACGUUGAGGCUCGAAAGCGUGGGGAGCAAACAGGAUUAGAUACCCUGGUA
This 434-nucleotide ribosomal RNA is filed under the name uncultured Lachnospiraceae bacterium. Its description in RNAcentral is "partial 16S ribosomal RNA". It matches the Rfam family "Bacterial small subunit ribosomal RNA", at positions 341 to 792 of the family's 1533-position model. Lineage: Bacteria; Bacillati; Bacillota; Clostridia; Lachnospirales; Lachnospiraceae. The record is from RNAcentral.